This is a long non-coding RNA of Xenopus laevis (African clawed frog), 417 nucleotides long. RefSeq lists it as uncharacterized. Lineage: Eukaryota; Metazoa; Chordata; Amphibia; Anura; Pipidae. The record is from RefSeq and is a predicted model, not a curated record. The transcript is spliced from 4 exons.
GAGGGCUUCACUAGCCAGUUCAUUUUCCAGCAAGCACUCGCUGUGCAACAUCUAACUUUCUGAGCUCUUCAACCAAGAGUGAGUUUAUGGCUGCCUAUUGCUGCUCCACCAAGGGAACAUCCAAAAUUGGUCUGUGGUUUAAAGAAGUUAUAAGGAUUCAUCUUGCUGUGUUGGAGUUUGAAUUUGUUCCUGAACAGGGAAUUGGGGCAGGCAGCAGAUGUUGUUGGUUGCUGAUGAGGAAGGAAACUCCAGAAUUUCUUGGGACAGCAUGUCUUCCAACUUGAAGAAAGGCUUGUUUAUCUGGAGAGAGCUGUGAUGCUUCAGCUGGUGGAUGAAUGUGUCUUCAAGCAGCAGUUGAUGUUGUCCAUGAUGUAAAUGUUUAAAUAAAACCAUUUGACUAGUUUGUUUUAUGUUAAA